RNAcentral lists this ribosomal RNA (253 nucleotides) under uncultured bacterium. RNAcentral's name for it is "partial 16S ribosomal RNA". It matches the Rfam family "Bacterial small subunit ribosomal RNA", at positions 524 to 776 of the family's 1533-position model. The record is from RNAcentral.
GACAGAGGUGCCGAGCGUUAGGCGGAAUCACUGGGCUCAAAGCGUGUGUAGGCGGGCGAUCAAGUACCUUGUGAAAUCCCACGGCUCAACCGUGGAACCGCUGGGUAUACUGGUUGUCUUGAGCCGGCUAGGGGCGAGCGGAUCAGACGGUGGAGCGGUGAAAUGCGUAGAUAUCGUCUGGAACGCCGAAGGUGAAAACAGCUCGCUGGGGCCGCGCUGACGCUGAGACACGAAAGCCAGGGGAGCGAACGGG